GUCUCUGUGGCGUAAUUGGCUAGCGCGUACGACUGUUAAGAACGAUUCAACAAGAAAGAAGUUCGGUCAUCGUAAGGUUGGAAGUUCGAGCCUUCCCAGGGACG
Molecule: non-coding RNA, 104 nt
Organism: Trichophyton equinum CBS 127.97
Lineage: Eukaryota; Fungi; Ascomycota; Eurotiomycetes; Onygenales; Arthrodermataceae
Source: Rfam